Molecule: ribosomal RNA, 433 nt
Filed under: uncultured bacterium
Lineage: Bacteria
Description: partial 16S ribosomal RNA
Rfam family: Bacterial small subunit ribosomal RNA
Source: RNAcentral
AGCGAACGCUGGCGGCAGGCCUAACACAUGCAAGUCGAACGGAUCCUUCGGGAUUAGUGGCGGACGGGUGAGUAACACGUGGGAACGUGCCCUUUGGUUCGGAACAACUCAGGGAAACUUGAGCUAAUACCGGAUGUGCCCUUCGGGGGAAAGAUUUAUCGCCAUUGGAGCGGCCCGCGUCUGAUUAGCUAGUUGGUGAGGUAACGGCCCACCAAGGCGACGAUCAGUAGCUGGUCUGAGAGGAUGAUCAGCCACACUGGGACUGAGACACGGCCCAGACUCCUACGGGAGGCAGCAGUGGGGAAUCUUGCGCAAUGGGCGAAAGCCUGACGCAGCCAUGCCGCGUGAAUGAUGAAGGUCUUAGGAUUGUAAAAUUCUUUCAGCGGGGACGAUAAUGACGGUACCCGCAGAAGGAGCUCCGGCUAACUUCGUG